RNAcentral lists this ribosomal RNA (776 nucleotides) under uncultured Neocallimastigales. RNAcentral's name for it is "partial large subunit ribosomal RNA". It matches the Rfam family "Eukaryotic large subunit ribosomal RNA", at positions 26 to 643 of the family's 3401-position model. Lineage: Eukaryota; Fungi; Neocallimastigomycota; Neocallimastigomycetes; Neocallimastigales. The record is from RNAcentral.
CGUCUAUAUACGUAUAGCAUAUCAAUAAGCGGAGGAAAAGAAACUAACUAGGAUUCCCUCAGUAACGGCGAGUGAAGCGGGAAGAGCUCAAAUUUGAAAUCUUCAAGGUUCUACCUUGACGAAUUGUAGUUUAUAGAAGUGUUUUCUGUUAGUAGGAGUGGCAAAAGUUCUUUGGAAUAGGACAUCAUAGAGGGUGAGAAUCCCGUAUUUGGUCAUUCCUUCCUAGCGUUGUGAUACACUUUCAACGAGUCGGAUUGUUUGGGAAUGCAGUCCAAAAUGGGUGGUAAAUUUCAUCUAAAGCUAAAUAUUGGCGAGAGACCGAUAGCGAACAAGUACCGUGAGGGAAAGAUGAAAAGAACUUUGAAAAGAGAGUUAAACAGUACGUGAAAUUGUCAAAAGGGAAGCGUUUGACACCAGUGUUGUUUUUCCGAAGAUCAAUUACGAAUGUUUUAUUUUUGAGGAGUUAUGACUUCAUCGGCUUGCUUCUCUCUUUACGAAACUUUCUUAAUGCACUUUUCGGUUAACAAGUCAACAUCAAUUUCUUUUGUUGUAAAAGGGUAUGAGGAAGGUGGCUUUCUUUUCGGAGAAAGUGUUUAUAGCCUUGUACCUCUGCAAUCGGAGAGAUUGAGGUCUGCAGCGUAGAUCCUUCGGGGUUAGAUACAUUUGUGCUAAGUUAUAGCUUUUCAUAGACAACUUGUUGACUAUGAUCAGUCAUGUAGCUUACUCGCUGAUGUCAUUUUACCUACGCUUAGGAUGUUGAUAUGCAUGACUGAUAU